UACGUAGGGAGCAAGCGUUAUCCGGAUUUACUGGGCGUAAAGCGCGCGCAGGCGGCUGGUCAAGUCCGAUGUGAAAGCUCCCGGCUUAACUGGGAAAUUGCAUCGGAAACUGAUCGGCUGGAAGGUGGGAGAGGGUAGCGGAAUUCCCGGUGUAGUGGUGAAAUGCGUAGAUAUCGGGAGGAACACCAGUGGCGAAAGCGGCUACCUGGCCCAUUCUUGACGCUGAGGCGCGAAAGCUAGGGGAGCAAACGGG
Molecule: ribosomal RNA, 253 nt
Filed under: uncultured bacterium
Lineage: Bacteria
Description: partial 16S ribosomal RNA
Rfam family: Bacterial small subunit ribosomal RNA
Source: RNAcentral